UUCAUCGCGUUCUGUCUCCUCCUCUCCCCUCGCUGGCUAGGGUUAGUCGAUUUUGUUGCGUUCUGUCUCUUCCUCCUCUCUGAUGGUACCUUUUGUUCUAUAGAUCUGCGUGAAGCUUAUCAGUUUGAUGCCUUUUUGUAGGUUUCUUUUGCUCUGGUCUUUGAUGGUGCUCGGAUUCAGUGCCCCCCUUCUUGGAUCCGUGAGGAGAUCUGCUUUUUCAGGUAUGUAUAUGCUCGAAUCUCUCGUCCUUUUGAUUAGUUCUAGUUCGUGGUUUAGGUUUGAUGCUUGGUGCGAUGCGUCUGUGCAAGCAUGCGUUGGCUAGGGUUUGCCAGUCCCCUCCUCGUUCUCAUACUGAAGCGGGAUUGGAGGUGUAGAUUUGUAGCCCUCUAUUCUGUAGUUUUUUUGUUAAUGUUUUGUUGCUAGGGUUUCUUAGGUUUAUAUUUUUCUUGUUCCAAUCUGCGCCAUGUUGAGCCUUUGUGUGAUGUUGGCCCCAUCUUUUAAGCCUUUGUGUGAUGUUAGCCCCAUCUUUGAGCCUUUGUGCUAGGGGUUCUUAGGUUUAUAUUGUUAAUUUUUCUUGUUCCAAUCUGCGCCAUGUUGAGCCUUUGUUAGUCUUAGAUUGUUAGGGUUUCUCAAUUUUCCUUCUUUUAUGUUCCAAUCCACCAUUAGGUCUUAUACUGCAGUUUUGGAUUUGAAUUGCCUAUUAGUUUUAUAUUCUUUUUUAGAUGUGUUCUUUUUGCAUGUUCUAGGUGUUUUUUUCUGUGUUUUAAGGGCUUAUUUUCUGAAAAAGAUCAUUCAUUUUUUGUAUCUAGUGUGUGUAUAAUCAUUGAUAGUUAUAGGUAGUAGGGUAGUUGUUACUUGAGUGAAAGAAGGUUUGAUUUUUUAGCCUAAAUGUUGAUAUCUUGUUUUUUGCCUGAGCAGUUUAAGAAGUUGUUGAAUUCAAUUUUUUAUGAGCAUUUUAGUAAGUAGUGUUAGUAUGAUGUUAUAGUAUUUGUUACUAAUUUGUCAAAAAAAUUAUUCUUUUGUUGCAGGCAUGGUUUGCCCUGUUUGUCGUUGUCCAAUUUUUUGUGUUUUCUAGUUGGGUUGCUUGUUUAUUAAGUUGUUUGUUAUCACUGUUGUGUAGUAUAAGCAUAAUUGGCUUGGUGCCAAAAAUUGUUAUGCCAAUGUUUGACACUGUGCCAAAUAUUGGCUACUACUUUGGUAGGUUACUGGUUUGUCUUGCCUAUCUCACAAAAAGUUGCCAAUAGUUUGGCAAGUAUUGGUAUUGCCAAUUUUUGUCAAUGCCAACUUUUGGCUAGCCAAAUUUUUGGCAGCAAACCAUCAUGCUCUAUAACUGUAAAGAACUUGGUUGAUAUGUUAUUUUUCUGCAGUUUAUGUUUGUGGUUCUAGUUAAUGUUCUUUUUGUUCCUUGGCAAUUGGCAUCGAGCAAGAAAAGCCUAGGGGGAGCUUCGCCGUUGCUUCCUCUGCUCCGCUCACCUGUCGUAUUUGGAGCAAAGCGAUCGAGGCAUCAACUAAAUAGUAUAUAUUUUUAUCAAGAGCAAUCUAUCCUUAAAAAGCAUCGCCUACUGCACCACCAUCAUGCUUUUGGGAACUGGUGCUAACUCAUCCACUGUCAAGUGUCAAGCUUAAAAGUGUAUCCUAAAUAGAGUAUUUGAUUGAUGAACUUGUCGCCCCCACAGGCAGUACAAAUGAUUUUAAAUUAUAAAGAAGAAGAUUAUAUUAUGUGCAUGGAGCAAAGACGGGUGGGGUGGAGAUCUAUGCUGCUCCAACGUUGCACCCACUCAAAGAUGCAAAUUCUGCUAGCUUUAGCUCCAGGGAGGCGCCCAUUUUAAAGAUGCAAAUGCUCCGGCCAAUGCGGCCCAGCACCCCCUUUACUACGAUGAUGCUCUGGUAUAGUCCUGGCCUCUAACUUGUACUAUUUUCUAGGACAUCUCACAAAGACAAAAGAAUGUGCAUAAAUGUGACCAGCUAAACCAAGCUUCGACAUGAAUUGAUGCAUUUAGUGCAAAUUGUAAUGUUUACGUACACUUUUGAGCACUGUUCAAGAACUCGGCCGAGUUACCAUUUAAAUGCCCAUUUAAUCACUACUCGGUGCCUAACUGAGGCGAAUAGCGCAUACUCGGUUCAUUAAAUGGUCAAGCCGAUUAACUGGCAUUUAAUCGGUUGUCAGACGAUUAACUGGUUGUCAAACCGAUUAAUCGGUGAUAGGUCAGGUAACUAUUUGAGUAUUUGCGGUCUAUGAACCUUAUUACCUAAUACCUAUUAUGCUAUUUGUGUUGAACCUUAUAGUGAAUUAUUCCAUGUUCACAUGUGUGGCUACUAUUUAUCUUGUUAUGUGUGGCUGCAUAUUGCCAAGUUGUGUGGCUGUCAUUUUAAUUUAUCUUAUCAUGUCUCAUGUGUGGCUUCUUGUUGUCACAUGUAUGGCUGUCGUUUACUCAUUUAUCUUGACAAGUUUAGAGCAUAUACAAAUGCAUAUCUAUCUUCUAUCAUCAAUUUUGCAGGUUUGUUGCCUUCCGGUUUGGAUGCAUCAUGACCAAACCGUCAAGGUAACAAUUCUACCUAUUGUGGGGCUGUUUUCUCAUAUUUUAGUAUAAAUGUAUAAUAUGUGCCUGUGAACAUUGGAUUAUAUGGUGUACAAUACGUGAAAAACUAGUUACAUGUUGCCAAUAUAUUCUCAUGUGCAGCCGAUUAAUGAUCGACCGAUUAAUUCAG
This 2709-nucleotide long non-coding RNA is filed under the name Triticum aestivum (bread wheat). RNAcentral's name for it is "long non-coding RNA (TAES_LNC000843)". Lineage: Eukaryota; Viridiplantae; Streptophyta; Magnoliopsida; Poales; Poaceae. The record is from RNAcentral.